GAUGAAGAACGCAGCGAAAUGCGAUAAAUAAUGUGAAUUGCAGAAUUCAGUGAAUCAUCGAAUCUUUGAACGCACAUUGCGCCCGCCAGUAUUCUGGCGGGCAUGCCUGUCUGAGCGUCAUUUCAACCCUCAAGCAACUUCUGCUUGGUGUUGGGGAUCGGCCGUCAAACGCCGCCCCCGAAAUCUAUUGGCGAUCUCGCUGUAGCUUCCUAUGCGUAGUAGUAACAUCUCGCAUCUGGAGAGCGGCGCGGUCAUGCCGUAAAACACCCAACUUCUCAGGUUGACCUCAGAUCAGGUAGGAAUACCCGCUGAACUUAAGCAUAUCAAUAAGCGGAGGA
This 338-nucleotide unclassified non-coding RNA is filed under the name soil metagenome. RNAcentral describes it as "partial contains 5.8S ribosomal RNA, internal transcribed spacer 2, and large subunit ribosomal RNA". The stretch from base 1 to 120 matches the Rfam family "5.8S ribosomal RNA", at positions 35 to 154 of the family's 154-position model. The record is from RNAcentral.